RNAcentral lists this ribosomal RNA (509 nucleotides) under uncultured bacterium. Its description in RNAcentral is "bacterial SSU rRNA". It matches the Rfam family "Bacterial small subunit ribosomal RNA", at positions 18 to 518 of the family's 1533-position model. The record is from RNAcentral.
UCUGGCUCAGGAUGAACGCUAGCGACAGGCUAACACAUGCAAGUCGAGGGGCGAGCACGGGAGUAGCAAUACAACUGGUGGCGACCGGCGCACGGGUGAGUAACGCGUAUGCAACCUACCUAUCAGAGGGGAAUAACCCGGCGAAAGUCGGACUAAUACCGCAUAAAACAGGGGCACCGCAUGGUGAUAUUUGUUAAAGAAAUUCGCUGAUAGAUGGGCAUGCGUUCCAUUAGGUAGUUGGUGAGGUAACGGCUCACCAAGCCGACGAUGGAUAGGGGAACUGAGAGGUUGGUCCCCCACACUGGUACUGAGACACGGACCAGACUCCUACGGGAGGCAGCAGUGAGGAAUAUUGGUCAAUGGGCGAGAGCCUGAACCAGCCAAGUCGCGUGAAGGAAGAAGGAUCUAUGGUUCGUAAACUUCUUUUGCAGGGGAAUAAAGUGCGGGACGUGUCCUGUUUUGUAUGUACCCUGAGAAUAAGGAUCGGCUAACUCCGUGCCAGCCGCUGC